Molecule: ribosomal RNA, 497 nt
Filed under: uncultured bacterium
Lineage: Bacteria
Description: partial 16S ribosomal RNA
Rfam family: Bacterial small subunit ribosomal RNA
Source: RNAcentral
GAUGAACGCUGGCGGCGUGCCUAAUACAUGCAAGUCGAGCGGACGGACGAUAAUCUUGCUUCUCUGAUGUUAGCGGCGGACGGGUGAGUAACACGUGUAUAACCUCCCUAUAAGACUGGGAUAACUUCGGGAAACCGGAGCUAAUACCGGAUAAUAUUUUGAACCGCAUGGUUGAAAAGUGAAAGACGGUCUUUCUGUCACUUCUAGCUGGAUCCGCGCUGUAUUAGCUAGUUGGUAAGGUAACGGCUUACCAAGGGGACGAUGCGUAGCCGACCUGAGAGGGUGGUCGCCCACCUUGGAACUGAAACACGCUCCAGGGUCCUGCGGGAGGGAGCAGUAGGGAAUGUGCGGCAACGGGGGAAAGCCUGACGGAGCAACGCCGCGUGAGUGAUGAAGGUCUUCGGAUCGUAAAACUCGGUUAUUAGGGAAGAACAUAUGUGUAAGUAACUGUGCACAUCUUGACGGUACCUAAUCAGAAAGCAACGGCUAACUACGUG